This is a long non-coding RNA of Canis lupus familiaris (dog), 4705 nucleotides long. RefSeq lists it as uncharacterized. NCBI's taxonomy places the organism in Eukaryota, Metazoa, Chordata, Mammalia, Carnivora, Canidae. The record is from RefSeq and is a predicted model, not a curated record. The transcript is spliced from 11 exons.
GCAUAUCCAGAAGUUAAAUAAGUUCAUGUGCUAAACUUCCGGGUAAUGGAAGAGGAGUGAAAUCGAUAUGUUUCAUUUCUGGGUCAUCUCCUUAAACACUUGCCCUGUACUUUCCCCUGUGCCUUCUCUGUGGGCUGUAGCACAGGUUCAGUAACACCGAAGAGCAUGACAUCAGGGAAUGGUAACGCAGAAGAAAGGAAGGAACUUGCGUCCUUUUAUGACCUAGAGGAGUUAAUCUACUUCACCACCUGGACCGGCGGGACUGUAAUAUCCUACCUGGAUUCCAAACAUUUCCAAACGGCUCUUCCUGCAAGUUAUGGACUGUGGACUCGUUCCAUCCAUUGGUAAACCUGUGGCAUCUUCCUUGAUUGAAGGUGAAUCUGGAGCAACUGUUCUUUUGGCAAAUGCUGGCAAGCAUCCAUCAAAGUGUGUCAGGAUAACCUGGUAAAGUGCAGUAUCUAAUAGAAGCUGUGGAAUGGGGCAUCCUUUUCUUGUUCCGGUCUCAAAGGAGGACUUUCAAAAUGCUAAGUUUGAUUGCAGCCCCAACAUGGGAUGCUUUCUCUAGCUCUUUCUGCCUGCAACGACUAAUUCUUCACAUUUCAGCGAUGAAUCUAAUCUCCUCCAUCAUGUCCUCGUUCCUACAAAAUGCAUCGUGUUUUAUUCAGCGUCAACACAGUGCCUUAUAUAAUAUCAAAUAAAUAUCCACUGCUAUGUCUUAUCCACGGCUCAUCAACUGGGGCUAUCAGUCGAGAUUUUUUUUUUCCAGGUUUUUUUUUUUUUUGGGAAUCAACCUGCUUUAUUUUGGCUGAAAGCUGGUUCCUUCCUAAAACUUCACAUUAAACUUUAAUGAGGAUCAUAAGAGCUUUUGUGAAACAUCAAAUAAAGUAUAAUACUAAUAGGAAAGGCUAGGGAAAGAAAAUAAAUUGAUGUGCUUCUGGGGAAUUUUUCCCUCAACUACUGAACUGGUUUCUGUAUCUACCUCUAUUCACAAAAAGUCUUAUGUGAGGGUCAUAUAUGCACAGUUUGGCCUUCAUUCUCUCCUUCUACAAAAGCUCAUACAUUGUCCAAUGUAUAUAAGGAGUUUUUGAUAGCCUCUGGGAUGUUUUUGCAAAUAAAAUGGAAUUUCUAAUCCAAGAAGCUUACCUGCUAGUGAAGGAGAGGGAAAAGUUGAGGAAGAGGAGAAAAGUGGACACAUGAACGUGACAUAAGCAUUUGGAUCACUGGUGACAAGCCAAAAAAUCAAGGUGUUCAUAUUGAGGAAAAGACCAUCUUAUUUUCAUGUAUUAUGAAGGAAUCAAGAAAGAAAUGACUUGCUAAAUGUUGUAUAAGUGGCAUUUUGUAUGCUGAACCCAAGUCCUCAGUCUCAAAAUUUCUGUUUUUGUUCAUACUUUUAAAAAGACCAUUUAAUUCACAAGCCAAAUUCUGUUGGCAAGACACCUCCUAAGGGAUAUGAUGAAAAAAGAUGGCCAUCCACAGCCAGGAAGAAGGCCCUCACCAAGGACUGAAUCUGCCAGCAUCUUGAUCUUGGACUCCUUCCUCAGCCUCCGCAACUCCCAAACUGUCUUCUGCCAGAACCCUCCUGAUUACUUUCAAGUUUAUCUCAACUCCUCUAAUCUCCCCAGAUCACCAAGCAUACAGUAAGAGCCCUGAUUUGCAGUGGUAGGAACUCAUGCUCUGUGGUCAGUUUGGGUUCCCCUUAUUGUGUGGUGACCUGUAGCAGAGGAAAAGAAGUGGAGUGAGAAGCCAAAUUGAAGUCAAUGCUUAUGUGGUUGGAGUGGGAACUGAAGCAUAAACUUUCAGAUGAAAAAGAAGGGUAUGUAUCGAACUGUCACCAAACAUAGCUGGCCUAAUGAGACUCCCUAAGGAUGGCAUCUCCUUUGAAUCCCUCAAGGGCACACAUUUUCCAGACCUCUAGGAGAAGAUUAUUCACAGAGAAACCCACAUAACCAUGGAACCCACUAUUCCAAUCACCUUCUUCCUGAAUAUUUCAAUCACAGCACUUGGUUGGUGACCAUCGUGCAUGUCACAAGCUGAGUGGUUAAAUGGUACAAGCAAACAGUCCACUUUGGGAAUUCAACUGCUAACCUUUGAGCAGUUCCAAUAAUUCACAUCUUAAAUUACAUGUAGUCAUUUACUCGGGUGUUUUCAGGAAUUAAAGCACAAGGAACAAGUCUUAGAGGCUCUCUUACCCUUAUUCCCAUAUUCCUCUGUGAGCUCCUAUAUAGUUACCUCUCACUGUUCUAUAUUAAAGACUAUUAAAAAAAAUAAAGACUAUUGAUAAGGAUAAUCAGACAUAAGCAGACUAUUGAAAAGGAUAAUCAGACAUAAGCAGAUGGUUUUAAAAUAAUGUGGUUGGCUGACAUGAGUUAGGUUUUUCUUGCCUCCUACUCAGUUUGAGAUUAAAUUAUUAUUAAUCCCCAUUUCCUGACAUACAAGCACAGGUGGGAAGGGAAAGAUAGUUAAAGGACUUAAAACUAACCUCAAUUUAUCUGUACUCUGGCCAUCAAUGGUGCACUAUUCUUAGUAUCCAAGAAAACUGAGGAAAAACCCCAACAACCUAGUUUCUAGUUACACUUAGGAGAUGCAUACCUGAAGGCUAACUUACCCUGCAUGUCCUAGAAUAAGGUAGACAUAUUUUAACUUUCAGUUCUAAAUACCCUAAAUAUUCCUACCUAUGAAAUACUUAACUGCUUUUUCUUCAAUUUGAGCUUCAUUCUGAUUUUUCAUUGCAGUCUGACUAGCAUCUUCCCAUGGUGGAAUUUUAAACAGUUGCUUUGGCUGUUUAAAAGAGAUGUGAGUAAAGAAAAAGUUGGAAAGCUCUAUUGUCUUAAAAUAUUCAAAAGCACUAUAGUCAUAGCUAUAAAAAUAACACCAAUUAGACUAUAAUUUCUACUUAAUUUUUAAUUUCUGUAUUUAGAAAAUGAUAUCACACUGUAUUCUUAAAAUGUUUUCCCCAAAUAAUCCCUUACCCAACUUAAACACACAAAUUUUAGGGAAAUCAUUACUUGAAAUAUAAAGGAUUUUAUUCUUCUAUAUUCUUAAAGGAUUAUAGAGCUACAAUUCAUUAGGAUUUUAGAGCUCAAGUAUCCUCAAACUGUCAUGCUUUCUUUCACACAUCCCUAGAAGUAACUAAUCCUAAAUUUCAAACAAAGUCUAUACAUAUAAUAAAUAAGGUGGGAGCUCACUAAUGGACAUACCUAGACAGUUUUAACUGGUCAUGAAAUCUAAUUUUAGCCCUCACAACCAUACCUGUGGAUAAUGCAGUGCUGAUGUAAUAUAAUUUUAGGAGUUCAGGAAGGUCUGCUUACUCAAAAUUAUGCUUUCCUUCCAUUUGCAAAAUUAUUAAAAAUUCUACCAAUAGAAAUUUAUUCUUUGCCUCUCCCUAUUCCAGUUCAUCUUUCAAAAGGCAAACAAUCUUGGGAUAGAAAGCCAUUAAACUAGUUCAUUCUAAGGCAGGGAUCAGCAAAGCAGACCACUGUAACCUGUCACUUGUUUUUAUAGGCCCACGAACUAAAAAUGGUUUUUACACUUUUAUUUGGCUAAAGAAAAAUCAAAGUAAGAAUAAUAUUUUAUAACAUGUGAAAAUUACGUGGAAUUCAAAUUUUAGUUUCCCUAAAUAAUUUUUAUUGGAACACAGCCCAUUCAUUUCUUUACAUAUUGUCUAUAGCUGCUUUCAUUCUGAAUGGCAGAGGUGAGUGGUUGGGAGACAGCAGAUAGCCUGUAAAAUUGAAAAUAUUUAGAAUCUGGCCCUUUACAAGAAGUUUGGCAACCCUUUGUUCUAAGGUGUCAGUAUCCUAUAAGAAUUACUUCCUGCUUCACAGAGGGAGGUCAUCCUAUAGCAAAAUAACCUCUGUCAGUUUCCAGAAGGAGAAGAUAAGGUGAAACACGCAGACAAGGGGCAAGAAAAGACAACAGGAACCAGAAAACUUUUACCCAAUUUUUAAACUUAAAAAUAACAUUGCAAAGUUGUAUAUGUAUAAAUGCAUAUAUCCAGAAUAUAAAUCAUUUCUCAGGCCAUAAAGGUAUCUUCUCUUUGUCCUUUAUUCCUUUUAUCUAUCAUUUUUUCCUUCCUUCCUCCCUCUCUCUCUCUAUCCCUCCCUCCCACUUAUUUAAUCCAUCCACAUUCAUUCACAUUUAUUGAGGCAGACAGUUUGUUGAACAUUGGUACAUAGUUAUCAACAAGAAAGAUAAGGUCUCUCUGCCUUCAUGGAGUUUCCUUUCCAUAGAAGACAAAGACAUAAAAAGAUAUUCCAAAACCAUGAUGGGGGGGUCAGGGCAGAGAUUUACUUUAGACAGGUUAGUCAGAUAUCCAUGAAGAGGUGACAUUUCAGCUGAAGCUCAAAGGAUGAAAAUGAACCAUCACUGAAAGAGCUAAGGGAAAAGCAUUAGAGAGAGAGGAAGUAGCAAAUGCAAAGGUCCUGGGACAGGAAAAGGGUUUGCUUAAUUUCAGGAAUAAAAGGGACACUAGUGUAUGUGUUGUGACUGUUUACAAACAGUCCUUUUAAAGUACCAGUAUCAUAAAACCCAAUACUAUUUGUUAAAAGUUUAUUAUUCGCUGAAAAUAUGUUUCAUUUAAUGCUUCCCCAAACUCUCAAUAGGUGAAUAUUAUUAAUUUCAUUCAUUUUAAAGUCAGAGAAAUAGACUCAAAGAUAUUAAAUGUAUUGAAUUCCACACUGGGAUUGAGUUUAGACUGUAAUCCAGGUCC